GUGCUUGCUUUGGCAACAUAUAUACUAAAGUUGGAACUAUACAGAGAAGAUUAUCAUGGCCCCUGCGCAAGGAAGACAUGCAAAUUUGUGAAGCAUUCCAUAUUUUU
This is a small nuclear RNA of Alexandromys fortis (reed vole), 107 nucleotides long. Lineage: Eukaryota; Metazoa; Chordata; Mammalia; Rodentia; Cricetidae. The record is from RefSeq and is a predicted model, not a curated record.